CGGUGGGCCACGCCUCCCCAACGAGGCGCGAGCCAUCUGGAAGGAUGGA
This 49-nucleotide non-coding RNA is filed under the name uncultured Hyphococcus sp. Its description in RNAcentral is "serC leader". It matches the Rfam family "serC leader". From Rfam's summary of the family: This family is a putative regulatory RNA structure that is found upstream of the serC-serA operon in some alpha-proteobacteria. The final stem of the structure overlaps the ribosome binding site of the serC reading frame. Lineage: Bacteria; Pseudomonadati; Pseudomonadota; Alphaproteobacteria; Parvularculales; Parvularculaceae. The record is from RNAcentral.